This 460-nucleotide ribosomal RNA is filed under the name uncultured bacterium. RNAcentral describes it as "partial 16S ribosomal RNA". It matches the Rfam family "Bacterial small subunit ribosomal RNA", at positions 338 to 795 of the family's 1533-position model. The record is from RNAcentral.
CCUACGGGAGGCAGCAGUGAGGAAUAUUGGUCAAUGGGCGGGAGCCUGAACCAGCCAAGUCGCGUGAGGGAAGACGGUCCUAUGGAUUGUAAACCUCUUUAGGCGGGGAGCAAUGCCGGGCACGUGUGCCCGGAGGGAGAGUACCCGCAGAAUAAGCAUCGGCUAACACCGUGCCAGCAGCCGCGGUAAUCCGGAGGAUGCGAGCGUUAUCCGAAUUUAUUGGGUUUUAGGGAUGCGUAGGCGGUUGUUUAAGUCAGCGGUAAAAUGUCCGGGCUCAACCCGAGCCGGCCGUUGAAGCUGGGGAUCUUGAGUGGGCGAGAAGUAUGCGGAAUGCGUGGUGUAGCGGUGAAAUGCAUAGAUAUCACGCAGAACUCCGAUUGCGAAGGCAGCAUACUGGCGCCCGACUGACGCUGAGGCACGAAAGUGUGGGUAUCAAACAGGAUUAGAUACCCGUGUAGUC